UUUAGUAAUUUAUUUAGUAACUUCCAAAAAUAAUCCCUGUAAUCAUGGUAAAUAAAUAAGGACUUUGCUUUCAACAAUUGGAUCCACUUAAAAGAUCAGGGCUUUUCAACCAAUGAAGCACCAUCAAUCGUUUAUGCUGAUACGCAGCUACUACGCCUCUUUCCUCCCCAAUUUCAGACCCACACAGUCGACGGACCAGUGUCGCCGGAGACAUGGAAGACAUCGAGGAUUUGUUGGUAGGCGGUGGCGCUGCUCCACCCGGUUUCCGAAUCCCCAUUACCGCCGUCGUCGGAAUAAAUCCAAUAAAAAAGAAGAAAAACAAUAAACUAGAGCCAUCAUCUUUGCUUCAAAACUCCUCGACACAUCAAGUCCCUGGCACCCAGGUUGGAUUUCUCCCUAUAUUCGUACCCUAGGCAAUAAUCGUUUCCAUUUUCUGCUUCGCGUUUUUUGCUGAUUUCACUCUUCUUUUGUUAUCUCUCAAUCUCAUAGACGAUUUUUUUUGAAGACAUUUGGAUGUUCACACAACCAGGUACAAUCGGGUGCAGGAAUCGUUUAGGGGUGUUGUCGAUUGGUGGAAGGCCGAGGUUAUCGCCUACUGUUUUAUUUUCAUUUCCCCUAAUUUUUCUCUGUUUAUACCCUGCAUCUAGAUUUUUACAUUAGUUUUUUGUAAUUUCAGUGUAAAAACUAACAAAUGAUCGUAAAUUCGUUGAAUUUGUGUUAGUCGGAGGCUUGAUUAACUUGAAUUAUGUGAGAUUUCUUUAUUUAUAACUUGAAUUCUGGGAUUUUAGAAGUUAUAAGGCGAUUGAGAAUUCACCUAGAUGGGAAAGAAGAUGAGACUGAUUCAACAGUGUAUCUAGAUCGACCUAGAGAACCCGAUUGCAUAUAUUAUUUAAGAACUGGAGCGUGUGGCUAUGGUAAUAACUGUAGGUUUAAUCAUCCAACUUACAAUGCUCAGAUGAUUCAAUGGAUGAUAUUGGUGAGAUUCCAAUUCUAUUGGAAUGGAAUAACGAAUUCCAAUUCUGUUGGAAUGGAAUGACGAAAUUCCAAUUCUGUUGGAAUCAUAGAAGUUGAUGCUUGAAGAACGGACCAAAUUAUUCUUUUAGAAUGUAUUAGUCGUUGUUAGAUUUUGAUGUUUUCUUCCCCGUUUUGAUUGUAUUUUUAAUUUUAUUCUUUAACAAUAAAUGUAAUUCUUAACAAUUGUUACCUGUAUUCUAUAAGAAAUAACGUAUUUUUGUUUUUAUUCUUCAAUUGAUUGUUCAAGAUUUUGUUA
Molecule: non-coding RNA, 1270 nt
Organism: Lactuca sativa (garden lettuce)
Lineage: Eukaryota; Viridiplantae; Streptophyta; Magnoliopsida; Asterales; Asteraceae
Source: RefSeq, a predicted model, not a curated record